This 465-nucleotide ribosomal RNA is filed under the name uncultured bacterium. Its description in RNAcentral is "partial 16S ribosomal RNA". It matches the Rfam family "Bacterial small subunit ribosomal RNA", at positions 28 to 507 of the family's 1533-position model. The record is from RNAcentral.
GACGAACGCUGGCGGCGUGCUUAACACAUGCAAGUCGAACGGAAAGGCCCUGCUUGCAGGGUACUCGAGUGGCGAACGGGUGAGUAACACGUGGGUGCUCUGCCCUGCACUUCGGGAUAAGCCUGGGAAACUGGGUCUAAUACCGGAUAGGAGCCAUUUUUAGUGUGAUGGUUGGAAAGUUUUUUCGGUGUAGGAUGAGCUCGCGGCCUAUCAGCUUGUUGGUGGGGUAAUGGCCUACCAAGGCGGCGACGGGUAGCCGGCCUGAGAGGGUGGACGGCCACAUUGGGACUGAGAUACGGCCCAGACUCCUACGGGAGGCAGCAGGGGGGAAUAUUGCACAAUGGGCGCAAGCCUGAUGCAGCGACGCCGCGUGGGGGAUGACGGCCUUCGGGUUGUAAACUCCUUUCGCUAGGGACGAAGCUUUUUGUGACGGUACCUAGAUAAGAAGCACCGGCUAACUACGUG